UGCUUAACACAUGCAAGUCGAACGGAGAACUUAUUUCGGUAAGUUCUUAGUGGCGAACGGGUGAGUAACGCGUGGGCAACCUGCCCUCCAGUUGGGGACAACAUUCCGAAAGGGAUGCUAAUACCGAAUGUGCUCCCUCCUCCGCAUGGAGGAGGGAGGAAAGAUGGCCUCUGCUUGCAAGCUAUCGCUGGAAGAUGGGCCCGCGUCUGAUUAGCUAGUUGGUGGGGUAACGGCUCACCAAGGCGAUGAUCAGUAGCCGGUCUGAGAGGAUGAACGGCCACAUUGGGACUGAGACACGGCCCAAACUCCUACGGGAGGCAGCAGUGGGGAAUCUUCCGCAAUGGACGAAAGUCUGACGGGGCAACGCCGCGUGAGUGAUGAAGGUCUUCGGAUUGUAAAACUCUGUUGUUAGGGACGAAAGCACCGUGUUCGAACAGGUCAUGGUGUUGACGGUACCUAACGAGGAAGCCACGGCUAACUACGUGCCAGCAGCCGCGGUAAUACGUAGGUGGCAAGCGUUGUCCGGAAUUAUUGGGCGUAAAGAGCAUGUAGGCGGGCUUUUAAGUCUGACGUGAAAAUGCGGGGCUUAACCCCGUAUGGCGUUGGAUACUGGAGGUCUUGAGUGCGGGAGAGGAAAGGGGAAUUCCCAGUGUAGCAGUGAAAUGCGUAGAUAUUGGGAGGAACACCAGUGGCGAAGGCGCCUUUCUGGACUGUGUCUGACGCUGGGAUGCGAAAGCCAGGGUAGCAAACGGGAUUAGAUACCCCGGUAGUCCUGGCCGUAAACGAUGGAUACUAGGUGUAGGUGGUAUCGACCCCUUCUGUGCCGGAGUUAACGCAAUAAGUAUCCCGCCUGGGGACUACGAUCGCAAGAUUGCAACUCAAAGGAAUUGACGGA
This 895-nucleotide ribosomal RNA is filed under the name uncultured bacterium. Its description in RNAcentral is "bacterial SSU rRNA". It matches the Rfam family "Bacterial small subunit ribosomal RNA", at positions 45 to 917 of the family's 1533-position model. RNAcentral also lists the same sequence under 1 other name. The record is from RNAcentral.